This is an RNA transcript of Lycium barbarum (goji berry), 3009 nucleotides long. It is a transcript of the gene named kirola-like, with no coding region annotated. Lineage: Eukaryota; Viridiplantae; Streptophyta; Magnoliopsida; Solanales; Solanaceae. The transcript has 2 exons. The record is from RefSeq and is a predicted model, not a curated record.
GUUUCUUACAGUCUAUGGAAUACCUCACUUUGCUCUCACUCAGAUAUAUUAUCUGAGAUUUUGGUGUGUCUACAAAUGAUAGAAGGCUUCCCUAUUUAUUGAGAUGAAAUGAACCUAUUGAUGUCAUUUGUGACUCAAGCAAGCACUUGACAAUUUGCCAAAUACAAGGAAGAUGUUUUCUUCCUUAAAACAAGGAAUAUGUUUUCUUCUUCAAAACAAGGGAAAUAUUUUCUUCCUUGUUUUCUUCCUUAAAAUGAGGGAGAUGUUUCCUUCUUCAAAUUAUGGGAUGGACCCAACAUUGGCGAGAGAAGCAAUAAGUAUCAUUUUUCAUUUUCACCUUUCUAAUUCUCUCGGCUUCAUCUUCUUCUCCACUUCUUCCUUUCUUUCUGCAUGUAAGAAUCAAGAACUUCUUCUUCUCUAAAUAGAUUUUUAAUCUAAAUUGGCCCAGUAUCAAUAUUAUUUUAAACACAUACAACUUCCGGCAAAAUAUGCCUACUCAAAACGAACUCAUCGACAUAAUCAAUGGAGGUUGAAAGUUUGAAUCGUACAACUAUAGCAUGUACCAGAUCGCGAGCAUCCAGACACCUCAUUCAUGGUUGAAUUAUUCAAGAUAAGAAGGUAGAUAAUAAUUGUUUUAAAAAAUAUUCAGAGAACCAUUGGUAUUAAUGUUCCUUUUGGGUUAUAUAAUGGCUAUAAUUUUCUUUUUUACUUUUAAAUUUUCAUUAUCAAAAUAGUGUAGUACUUACAAAUUCUAAAAGUUUCUUCAGGGAUUUCUAGUAUGAUUUCACAACAUUCCUGGAUUUGUUGAGCUGAUCAUGUUAGUUCACGUUCACUAAAUGAACGUGUGAAAAAGUGGUCCUUCAUUAUUGGACCAGUUGAAACUCCCAUUAUCUGAAACUACCCUAAGGAAAUUGCUGCCCUAAAAACUGUUCUAUUAACUGUUCUUGAUGGUAGAACAGUAUAAAAGAUACAACAAACGGAUUGGGUCCCUAAGCACAAUUUUUUCUUUUAAAUCCACACCAUCUAAUAGUGAGGUUGAGUGCUUAUGAGACUCACAGGAUUGGAAAACUGAUGCCGACGACGCUACCGACUUCAACCACGACCCCGUAACAAUGGCCGGAGGUGUAGAUGCAUGAGGAAUGCAGAGUAAAAAUCAGAACCCGUAGUGAAAUCUUCCAUCAACUACAAAUAUAAUUAAAUACAUAUGGGUCUUUCACAAGCACGGGCCUUGGAGGCGCAAGAGGAACUCAGAAAUUAUAAAGAGGACUAGGUGUUUGGAUUUUUAAAACAACUGCCUCAUAACAAAGGUUGUUGACUUCAUUCUGUGUGUAUCUUCUUUUAUUAUAUUAAUUUUUUUCAGUUUCGUCCUCAUGAAUAAUUUCAGAAACAAUUUUUUUAUUGUCUUGCAAGAAAAUAAAGAGAUUAGAGUGUAAAUCAUUAAAGAAUAAAAGAAAUACGAAAUAAAUUAUAAAAAAAAUAAAAAUAUUAGAGGUGCAAUAUGCAAAAACUAACCAAUUAGUUCGACUACCUUCCCUGUUGAGCCAUUUAAAAGCUUUCAUUUUUCUCCUGUGAAAAUUCUUUGUGCCUUUUAAACAAUUGGCACUGAAAUAUUGUCAUGUUGUGUUCAAAUUCGUUUGGCCAUGGGAAAAUUCGUCCUAUGCUAAAAAUUUUGGGGUUGUAUUUUUUACAUAUCAAAACUUCAAGGGUUAAGUGAAAUUUACACUAAUAAAAAAUAAAAAACUUUGUGUACAUCUCUAUGUCUGAGAAGAAGUCUAAGCUUUAAUGAUCUAUAUUUAAUUUUUAAUUCUCUAAAAAAUUAAUUCAACUGUCAUAGCUAUCAUAUUACUUGUUAGAUCAAGAAAAACGACGUGUCAACAAAUCUAAUUAAGUUGUUAUAUACACGACUUGGAGAAAAUAAUUGUAAUCUUUGCAGGUUGACGAUCCCCAAAAUGCAACUAUAUAAAGACUUUUCUUUUUGGUUCUUUAUCCAUCAAAAUUUCAAACCUUGCUAUUUCUAUACUUCAGAAUUAAAAAUAUUAUUCAGUGCUAGACUGCUAGUUCUCAAUUCUCAUUAGUGAUCAGAAAGAGAGAUAAAAGAUGGGUCUGAAUGGAAAAUUGAUUUCACAAACAGAGAUCAAGGGUGUGUAGGAAAAUGUUUUCCUAAAAAAUAAGUCAACUCAUGUUCGUUUGGGUAGUGGAAAAUAAGUAAUUUCUUACUUAUUUUCUCAUGUUCGUUUGGUUGAUAAAAAACAUUUUUCGGAAAAUACUCAUCCAAGCCUCACCAAUUUCAACCCAACCCCAUACCUCCAACCUCAUCCACACCCCACUCCCACCCACCCACCUACGCCCCCACCCCCCCUCCAAAAAAAAUUUCUUUUGAUUUUUUUUUUGUUUUUUGUUUUUUGUUUUUGGCAACCCCAGCCCAACCCUCACCAACUCCAACCCAACCCCAUACUCCCACCCCACUCCUACUCACCCACCCCUACGCCCUCACCCCUCUCCAUUUGUUUUUUGCACCCCCACCCCCAACCACUCCCGUAACCCAUACACCAUCCCCUCCCCCUCACCCUACCCCCUCCCCCCCGCCACAACAUUUUUUUUGAAGUUUUUAUUUUUUUUUCUAAAUUUUCUACACGACCACAUCCCCCAUCACCCCUCUCCCCCCUUGCGUGGAACCCAUACCACACCAACACCCCCUUCCCAACCCUAACAUAUUCUUUUUGAAGUUUUUUAUUGUCUUUGCGGGUUUCUCCACCCCCAGACACCCCCUACCCAAAAAAAAAAAAUCUUUUCACCACACACCCCAACGCCCCCCCCCCCCCCACCCUAAAAAUACCCCAUCACCCCUUCCAAAGGUUUUAAUUUUUAACCGCACAAACAUUCAAUUUUUAUAAUUAUCAACUUUUUUUCAAUUUUUUUGUUGGGGGUGGGGGUGCAAAAAACCAAAACAAAUGUCGAAAAAAAUAUUUUUUUGUCAAAACAUUUUUUUCAAAAAUAUUAAUUUUUUUU